This 626-nucleotide ribosomal RNA is filed under the name uncultured bacterium. Its description in RNAcentral is "bacterial SSU rRNA". The stretch from base 1 to 535 matches the Rfam family "Bacterial small subunit ribosomal RNA", at positions 338 to 873 of the family's 1533-position model. The record is from RNAcentral.
CCUACGGGGGGCAGCAGUGAGGAAUAUUGGUCAAUGGGCGCAAGCCUGAACCAGCCAUGCCGCGUGCAGGAAGAAUGCCCUACGGGUUGUAAACUGCUUUUAUUUGGGAAUAAACCUUUCUACGUGUAGAAAGCUGAAGGUACCAAUUGAAUAAGCACCGGCUAACUCCGUGCCAGCAGCCGCGGUAAUACGGAGGGUGCAAGCGUUAUCCGGAAUCAUUGGGUUUAAAGGGUCCGCAGGCGGACCUAUAAGUCAGUGGUGAAAGCCUACAGCUUAACUGUAGAACUGCCAUUGAAACUGUAGGUCUUGAAUUCGGUCGAAGUGGGCGGAAUGUGUAGUGUAGCGGUGAAAUGCAUAGAUAUUACACAGAACACCGAUAGCGAAGGCAGCUCACUAGGCCUGGAUUGACGCUCAGGGACGAAAGCGUGGGGAUCAAACAGGAUUAGAUACCCUGGUAGUCCACGCCGUAAACUAUGAUUACUCGUUUUCGGCGAUAUACAGUCGGAGACUAAGCGAAAGUGAUAAGUAAUCCACCUGGGGAGUACGGAGUACGCGAGUAGUAACGUACGAAGAAGAAGUAGUACGGACGUGAGACGUAGACCGACGGACGACGACGAGGGAGGAGG